AGUGAACGCUGGCGGUAGGCCUAACACAUGCAAGUCGAACGGCAGCACAGUAAGAGCUUGCUCUUACGGGUGGCGAGUGGCGGACGGGUGAGGAAUACAUCGGAAUCUACUUUUUCGUGGGGGAUAACGUAGGGAAACUUACGCUAAUACCGCAUACGACCUACGGGUGAAAGCAGGGGAUCUUCGGACCUUGCGCGAUUGAAUGAGCCGAUGUCGGAUUAGCUAGUUGGCGGGGUAAAGGCCCACCAAGGCGACGAUCCGUAGCUGGUCUGAGAGGAUGAUCAGCCACACUGGAACUGAGACACGGUCCAGGCUCCUACGGGAGGCAGCAGUGGGGAAUAUUGGACAAUGGGUGCAAGCCUGAUCCAGCCAUACCGCGUGGGUGAAGAAGGCCUUCGGGUUGUAAAGCCCUUUUGUUGGGAAAGAAAAGCAGCAGGUUAAUACCCCGCUGUUCUGACGGUACCCAAAGAAUAAGCACCGGCUAACUUCGU
This 491-nucleotide ribosomal RNA is filed under the name uncultured bacterium. RNAcentral describes it as "partial 16S ribosomal RNA". It matches the Rfam family "Bacterial small subunit ribosomal RNA", at positions 29 to 506 of the family's 1533-position model. The record is from RNAcentral.